GAACCGCAGACAGACACGGACUGCAGCCAAACACCUAACAACUCCCAACACAGACAACGCAGAUUACAGACAUAAAGCUCUCCCCACACAAACAGAAUGGAGGACAGCCGACACAAAAGCACAGGACGCCCAGGCCAAAACAGCCAAGACCACGCCACUUCAAAUGGAACAGCUACAGACAGAACUAAAACACUCCACUGAGGGAACCAGGAGCAGCAGAUCACAUGCAUCAUAAGAAUAAAAACUGCCACCGCGAAGAGAUCUCAGGCAUCCCCCACAGCCCUGAUGGUUGGGGAAGCAAUGGGAGUCACCUUGCGUCCCCUCCUCUUAUGCCCUGUCUUCUCUACCCCUUGGUUGACCAAUUCCAUGAUUGCCUCCAUCUGCUCUUUGGUUAGCGGCCUUGAGAAAAGGCGAGCAAUCUGUUCAAAAGAAUUAUCUUGGUUAGAGGAACAUGAAGCAAUAGAGUUUUGGUUUUGUUUCUGAUUUGUUGCAGUAUUAUUGAGCUUAGCUAUCAGGAUGUCCUGGGCUUUGGAUAUGGCAUCCCUGGAACGCCCCAUCAUAGUCUUUUUCUUGGCAGCUAGUCUAAUACUGGAUCUCUUUUUGAAGGUAGUAGUCUGAUUAGACAAAACAGCAGCAGAUUCAGUGGAUUGCCCCAAUAAUGCACUAAAACUGUCUGGGGUAUCAAUAGGAGGUGAAUGGAUUAGCGGUUGAUCUUUUGGUAAAGCAAUAUGUGCAACAAAUUCUUGAAGCUGCGCAUCAGAGCAGACCCCCUGCUUGUGCGCGGAUGGCUGACCGACUAGGAGUGGUUCAUUGAUAUGUACUGCGAAGGAAGUGGGACCAUCCUGAUUAUGUUGAUUACAGCGUUGUUCUAUGAUUAAAUCGCAGCCAUCCUGGAUAGGCUCUACACUUGCUACCCCAUGGGUUGGCCUUUGUGAUUGGGUUGACCUUAGUGGUUCUUGAAUCAAUGGGACAUUGGACAACGUACUAAAAUUCUGGCCUGGGUUAAAAUUAGGUUCAGUUCCCCUUUCUACACUGGAAGGACGCUGAUCAUCAACAGAAAUUGGGGGAGGCAGAGGAGGUACCUUGGGCGAUGCAGAUGCCUGGGACAGGAGCGAAGCCAUGCUGUUAUCGCGGCCGUUGUCGUCAAUCGGACUGGAGUUCCCCUCAGCAGCCACAGGAGUCUUGUUGCCAGGAAGGUGAACAUUGGUCAGCCUAGAACAAUCAGCAACUGUCGACCCUUCAC
This 1243-nucleotide long non-coding RNA is filed under the name Zea mays. RNAcentral's name for it is "long non-coding RNA (ZMAY_LNC002048)". Lineage: Eukaryota; Viridiplantae; Streptophyta; Magnoliopsida; Poales; Poaceae. The record is from RNAcentral.